This 406-nucleotide ribosomal RNA is filed under the name uncultured bacterium. Its description in RNAcentral is "partial 16S ribosomal RNA". It matches the Rfam family "Bacterial small subunit ribosomal RNA", at positions 30 to 526 of the family's 1533-position model. The record is from RNAcentral.
AUUGAACGCUGGCGGCAGGCCUAACACAUGCAAGUCGAACGAGUGGCGGACGGGUGAGUAAUGUCUGGGAAACUGCCUGAUGGAGGGGGAUAACUACUGGAAACGGUCGCUAAUACCGCAUACCAUCAGAUGUGCCCAGAUGGGAUUAGCUUGUUGGUGGGGUAACGGCUCACCAAGGCGACGAUCACUAGCUGGUCUGAGAGGAUGACCAGCCACACUGGGACUGAGACACGGUACAGACUCCGACGGGAGGCAGCAGGGGGGAAUAUUGCACAAUGGACUCAAGCCUGAUGCAGCCAUGCCGCGUGUCUGAAGAAGGCCUUCGGGUUGUAAAGUACUUUCAGCGGGGAGGCGUUACCCGCAGAAGAAGCACCGGCUAACUCCGUGCCAACAGCCGCGGUAAUUC